AAGGGAGACCUAAUUCGGGUAUAAGACGAAAAAAGAGUAGUCGAAACCAAGAAUCAAUCCCAAAAGGUCGGAACGAGGUAUGUGGCUUUCAAACUAGGUUCUGGGUUCACACAAGACCUGAAUCAGGAACAAGGGCUAUUAGCUCAGGUGGUUAGAGCGCACCCCUGAUAAGGGUGAGGUCCCUGGUUCGAGUCCAGGAUGGCCCACCUGCACAGGUGGCAAAAACAAAGAAGCGAGGAAUCAGCCCCUUAUCUUAUCUAUAUAUAAGAGAGAAUGCUGGCUCUGAGUAAAGAGUCCAGAGGAACCUUGAAAACUGCAUAGAGCUAGGUGAAAAAGCCAAAAAAGAAGACCGCAA
Molecule: transfer RNA, 355 nt
Filed under: Microcystis sp. BG02
Lineage: Bacteria; Bacillati; Cyanobacteriota; Cyanophyceae; Chroococcales; Microcystaceae
Description: 16S-23S ribosomal RNA intergenic spacer
Rfam family: tRNA (bases 133-206)
Source: RNAcentral